CCUACGGGUGGCAGCAGUGGGGGAUAUUGCACAAUGGGGGAAACCCUGAUGCAGCGACGCCGCGUGUGCGAAGAAGUAUUUCGGUAUGUAAAGCCCUAUCAGCAGGGAAGAAGAAAUUACGGUACCUGAGUAAGAAGCACCGGCUAAAUACGUGCCAGCAGCCGCGGUAACACGGAGGGUGCAAGCGUUAUCCGGAUUUACUGGGGGUAAAGGGAGCGCAGGCGGCACGGUAAGCCUGAUGUGAAAGCCCUGGGACUAACCGGGGGACUGCAUUGGGAACUACCGGGCUGGAGUGCCGGAGAGGGAGGCAGAAUUCCUGGUGUAGCGGUGAAAUGCGUAGAGAUUAGGAGGAACACCAGUGGCGAAGGCGGCCUACUGGACGGUGACUGACGCUGAGGCUCGAAAGCGUGGGGAGCAAACAGGAUUAGAUACCCUAGUAGUC
RNAcentral lists this ribosomal RNA (442 nucleotides) under uncultured bacterium. RNAcentral's name for it is "partial 16S ribosomal RNA". It matches the Rfam family "Bacterial small subunit ribosomal RNA", at positions 338 to 795 of the family's 1533-position model. The record is from RNAcentral.